This 63-nucleotide transfer RNA is filed under the name Nipponoluciola cruciata (Japanese firefly). RNAcentral's name for it is "Luciola cruciata (Japanese firefly) tRNA-Phe". Lineage: Eukaryota; Metazoa; Arthropoda; Insecta; Coleoptera; Lampyridae. The record is from RNAcentral.
AUUUUAAUAGCUUAUUAAGAGCAUAAUAUUGAAGAUAUAAAGGACAUUUUAGAUCUUAAAAUA